UACGGGGGGGGCAAGCGUUGUUCGGAAUUACUGGGCGUAAAGGGCUCGUAGGCGGCCAACUAAGUCAGACGUGAAAUCCCUCGGCUUAACCGGGGAACUGCGUCUGAUACUGGAUGGCUUGAGAUUGGGAGAGGGAUGCGGAAUUCCAGGUGUAGCGGUGAAAUGCGUAGAUAUCUGGAGGAACACCGGUGGCGAAGGCGGCAUCCUGGACCAACACUGACGCUGAGACGCGAAAGCGUGGGGAGCGAACGGG
This 253-nucleotide ribosomal RNA is filed under the name uncultured bacterium. RNAcentral describes it as "partial 16S ribosomal RNA". It matches the Rfam family "Bacterial small subunit ribosomal RNA", at positions 524 to 776 of the family's 1533-position model. The record is from RNAcentral.